RNAcentral lists this transfer RNA (71 nucleotides) under [Clostridium] scindens. It matches the Rfam family "tRNA". From Rfam's summary of the family: Transfer RNA (tRNA) molecules are approximately 80 nucleotides in length. Their secondary structure includes four short double-helical elements and three loops (D, anti-codon, and T loops). Lineage: Bacteria; Bacillati; Bacillota; Clostridia; Lachnospirales; Lachnospiraceae. The record is from RNAcentral. RNAcentral also lists the same sequence under 15 other names.
GGGGAUUAGCUCAGUUGGGAGAGCGCCUGCCUUGCAAGCAGGAGGUCACGAGUUCGAAUCUCGUAUUCUCC